UAGGGAAUCUUCGGCAAUGGACGGAAGUCUGACCGAGCAACGCCGCGUGAGUGAAGAAGGUUUUCGGAUCGUAAAGCUCUGUUGUUAGAGAAGAACGUUGGUAGGAGUGGAAAAUCUACCAAGUGACGGUAACUAACCAGAAAGGGACGGCUAACUACGUGCCAGCAGCCGCGGUAAUACGUAGGUCCCGAGCGUUGUCCGGAUUUAUUGGGCGUAAAGCGAGCGCAGGCGGUUCUUUAAGUCUGAAGUUAAAGGCAGUGGCUUAACCAUUGUAAGCUUUGGUAACUGAAGGACUUGAGUGCAGAAGGGGAGAGUGGAAUUCCAGGUGUAGCGGUGAAAUGCGUAGAUAUAUGGAGGAACACCGGUAGCGAAGGCGGCUCUCUGGUCUGUAACUGACGCUGAGGCUCGAAAGCGUGGGGAGCAAACAGG
Molecule: ribosomal RNA, 429 nt
Filed under: Bacillota bacterium
Lineage: Bacteria; Bacillati; Bacillota
Description: Firmicutes bacterium partial 16S ribosomal RNA
Rfam family: Bacterial small subunit ribosomal RNA
Source: RNAcentral